AGCAGUGUGUCAUAGUGGUUUGAGUGUUGGACUACGGCUCCGGAGGCCAGGGUUUGAAUCCCAGCUCGGCUG
Phrynosoma platyrhinos (Desert horned lizard) is the source of this 72-nucleotide non-coding RNA. The record is from the annotation of a GenBank genome assembly. NCBI's taxonomy places the organism in Eukaryota, Metazoa, Chordata, Lepidosauria, Squamata, Phrynosomatidae.